This 331-nucleotide non-coding RNA is filed under the name Brachypodium distachyon (stiff brome). RNAcentral's name for it is "Bacterial small subunit ribosomal RNA". It matches the Rfam family "Bacterial small subunit ribosomal RNA", at positions 567 to 870 of the family's 1533-position model. The record is from Rfam by way of RNAcentral. Lineage: Eukaryota; Viridiplantae; Streptophyta; Magnoliopsida; Poales; Poaceae.
GUCGACACGUAGUAGGAUAGAGGCAUUGGCAAGUGCGACCCAUUUCAUCAGGACGCGUCGUGUUCGUUCGGACAAAACGCGCACCCAACGCGACUACCAAGCUGGAGUACGGCAGAGACAGAGGGAAUUUCCGGUGGAGCGAUGAAAUGCAUUGAGAUCAGAAAGAACACCAACGGCGAAAGCACUCUGCUGGGCCGACACUGACGCUGAGAGACGAAAGCUAGGGGAACAAAUGGGAUUAAAGACCCCAAUAGUCCUAGCCGUAAACGAUGGAUACUAGGUGCUAUGCGACUCGACCACCCAACGCGACGGUCUAUUUCGGCGGUUGUCC